CAUGCAAGUCGAACGGUAACUAGUAUAACCAAACCGUAUGAGAUGGACUAGGGCUGACUAACUAGGCUAUGCGGCCUACUCAAGACUAGGAGUCUACCCACAGGAUGGGGGAUAUCACCCGCACAAUUCCGAUACUUAGUAGCGGAAGUUCUCAUACGAGAAAAAACAUGGAGUGCUGAUGCAUGGGCAUGCGCGUGAGGGUUCUACGGUAGAGUAACUAACUACCGGGAGUAAGAGUCUCAAGGAGAUGAUACGGUGAUGGCCCGAAAGGAUGAUGAGAUACGGGGGGAAUUCUAAGGGAGGAAACACCUAGGAAUAUUGGUCAAGGGAUAUAUUUCUGAACAGCCCUGCCCUGUUCAAGCAAAGCGGCUUGUGUGUAGAAAGGCGGUGGGUGAAAGGA
This 400-nucleotide ribosomal RNA is filed under the name uncultured bacterium. Its description in RNAcentral is "partial 16S ribosomal RNA". The record is from RNAcentral.